RNAcentral lists this ribosomal RNA (87 nucleotides) under uncultured bacterium. Its description in RNAcentral is "partial 16S ribosomal RNA". The record is from RNAcentral.
UACUCACCGCCCGUCAAGUCAGGGGAGUUGGGAGUGCCCGAAGCGCAUCCUCGUGAUGCAUCAAGGCAAGCUCAAUGACAAAAGACU